GAUCAGUGGCUACAGGACGACGCUGGCGGCGUGCCUAACACAUGCAAGUCGAGCGAGGAGAUUCCUUCGGGAUGAUCCUAGCGGCGGACGGGUGAGUAACACGUGGGCAACCUGCCUCAUAGAGAGGAAUAGCCUUCCGAAAGGGAGAUUAAUACCUCAUAACAUUGCAGUUUCGCAUGGAACAGCAAUUAAAGGAGCAAUCCGCUAUGAGAUGGGCCCGCGGCGCAUUAGCUAGUUGGUGAGGUAACGGCUCACCAAGGCGACGAUGCGUAGCCGACCUGAGAGGGUGAUCGGCCACAUUGGGACUGAGACACGGCCCAGACUCCUACGGGAGGCAGCAGUGGGGAAUAUUGCACAAUGGGGGAAACCCUGAUGCAGCAACGCCGCGUGAGUGAUGACGGCCUUCGGGUUGUAAAGCUCUGUCUUCAGGGACGAUAAUGACGGUACCUGAGGAGGAAGCCACGGCUAACUACGUGCCAGCCGCGGC
This 487-nucleotide ribosomal RNA is filed under the name uncultured bacterium. Its description in RNAcentral is "bacterial SSU rRNA". It matches the Rfam family "Bacterial small subunit ribosomal RNA", at positions 33 to 518 of the family's 1533-position model. The record is from RNAcentral.